RNAcentral lists this transfer RNA (86 nucleotides) under Actinomycetota bacterium. Its description in RNAcentral is "tRNA-Ser". It matches the Rfam family "tRNA". Rfam says of the family: Transfer RNA (tRNA) molecules are approximately 80 nucleotides in length. Their secondary structure includes four short double-helical elements and three loops (D, anti-codon, and T loops). Lineage: Bacteria; Bacillati; Actinomycetota. The record is from RNAcentral.
GGAGACGUGCGAGAGCGGCCGAAUCGGCGCGACUGGAAAUCGCGUGGCCUUCAAAGGGCCCAAGGGUUCAAAUCCCUUCGUCUCCG